CGGUAAUUCCAGCUCCAAUAGCGUAUAUUAAAGUUGUUGCAGUUAAAAAGCUCGUAGUUGGAUGUCUGGGGGGGGUGGCCGGUCCGCUCGGGGAUUCCGGGUGUGCACUCGCGCCGCGCGCCCCCAUGUUUGCGGAGAACGGGUCUGGCAUUAAGUUGUUGGCCCCGGGAUCCGCAUCGUUUACUGUGAAAAAAUUAGAGUGUUCAAAGCAGGCGGCACUGCUUGGAUACAUUAGCAUGGAAUAAUGAGAUAGGACUUUGGUGCUAUUUUGUUGGUUUGCGCAUCAGGGUAAUGAUUAAUAGGGCCAGUCGUGGGCAUUCAUAUUUCGGAGCUAGAGGUGAAAUUCUUGGAUUUCCGGAAGAUGAACCACUGCGAAAGCAUUUGCCAAGGAUGUUUUCAUUAAUCAAGAACGAAAGUUAGGGGAUCGAAGAGGAUUAGAUACCCUCGUAGUCUUAACCAUAAACUAUGCCGACUAGGGAUUGGCGGGGCACGUGCUGAUGACCCCGUCAGCACCUUAUGAGAAAUCAAAGUCUUUGGGUUCCGGGGGGAGUAUGGUCGCAAGGCUGAAACUUAAAGGAAUUGACGGAAGGGCACCACCAGGAGUGGAGCCUGCGGCUUAAUUUGACUCAACACGGGGAAACUUACCAGGUCCAGACAUAGUAAGGAUUGACAGAUUGAGAGCUCUUUCUUGAUUCUAUGGGGUGGUGGUGCAUGUCCGUUCUUAGGGGGUGGAGUGAUUUGUCUGGUUAAUUCCGUUAACGAACGAGACCUCCGCCUGCUAACUAGUCACGCGAUGGACUCUCAUCGCGGGUGACUUAUGAGAGGGGCGAUGGGUGUUCAGCCCAUGGAAGUGCGAGGCAAUAUCAGGUAUGUGAUGCCAUUAGAUGGUCUGGGCCCCACGCGCGCUACAGAGAUGAGUUCAAUGAGUUCUGCCCUUGACCGAAAGGCCCGGGUAAUCUCGCAACUCUCAUCGUGGUGGGGAUUGAUUAUUGUAAUUUCUUAUCAUCAACGAGGAAUUCAUAGUAAACUCAUGUCAUCACAUUGCAUUGAUUACGUCCCUGCCCUCAGUACACACCAACCAAGGGUGAAUC
Molecule: ribosomal RNA, 1091 nt
Filed under: uncultured stramenopile
Lineage: Eukaryota
Description: bacterial SSU rRNA
Rfam family: Eukaryotic small subunit ribosomal RNA
Source: RNAcentral